Molecule: unclassified non-coding RNA, 96 nt
Organism: Ictidomys tridecemlineatus (thirteen-lined ground squirrel)
Lineage: Eukaryota; Metazoa; Chordata; Mammalia; Rodentia; Sciuridae
Source: Ensembl
ACAGGACAGGUACAGCACAGGCAGCGACAGUGCAAUCUUUCCCCACACCACCUGGUUGUUGUGUCUCAACCCUGACCUGGACGGACCAUCUCUAGA